UCUGAGAUUCUGAAGGAGAACAGGGCUGUCAGUCUUGAGUGGGAGCUGCUAAGUGUGUGGCGCAGACCCUACGACCUGUCCUGUCCCGCCUGCUCUGCCCCUCUCCACUCCAGAAAGUGUUCAGAGCAUGCCAAUAAGCAUCCCUCCAUGGCCUCUGCAUUGAAUCCUGGCUCAAGGUUCCUGUGCUGUUUGAGUUCCUGUCCUGACUUCCUUCAACAGAUGAACAGUACAGUGGAAAUGUAAGCCAAAUAAACACUUUCCUCCCCAA
Mastomys coucha (southern multimammate mouse) is the source of this 268-nucleotide long non-coding RNA. RefSeq lists it as uncharacterized. The record is from RefSeq and is a predicted model, not a curated record. The transcript is spliced from 2 exons. Lineage: Eukaryota; Metazoa; Chordata; Mammalia; Rodentia; Muridae.